Molecule: non-coding RNA, 345 nt
Filed under: Candidatus Parepulonipiscium sp. PG-Nuni2H_MBin01
Lineage: Bacteria; Bacillati; Bacillota; Clostridia; Lachnospirales; Lachnospiraceae
Description: Epulopiscium sp. Nuni2H_MBin001 cspA thermoregulator
Rfam family: cspA thermoregulator
Source: Rfam by way of RNAcentral
AUUGGUAUCAGGAACGCACUCAGGCCUCUUUUAUAUAAGACCGAUUGACGUUUUGAAUUAACAGUGUUUUAGCAGUAAUAAUAAAGGAGGCCUAGUGUAAUGACAGGUAAAGUAAAAUGGUUUAAUGCUGAAAAAGGAUUUGGAUUUAUUGAAAGAGAAGAUGGUGACGAUGUUUUCGUACACUUCACAGCAAUCCAAAGCGAAGGAUUCAAGACUUUAGAAGAAGGACAAGAAGUUGAAUUCGACAUCACUGACGGAAACAGAGGACCACAAGCGUCUAACGUUACUCGUAAGUAAUAAACCAUAAAAAAGGGGGGCUCUAUUGAAUUGAGAGCCCCUUUUGUU